UGCUGCUGGCAAGGCACUUUGCAACCAUACUGUGGCUGUCCUUUUUCAGAUGGCGACCUACUCUCAGCUCCGCCUCCUUGCUGUGCCCCCAGUCUUAAACUGCACAGAGACCGAGCAAUGCUGGCACAAGCCAAGGACUGGGUGUAAAAUCAGGCCGGGUCAGUGAUAUGGUUGUUCUGUCUGCCAAGCCCAAACAAAGGAUAGCUGCCAGUGGUGUUAGUUCUACAUAGGAGCACUCUCGACAAGGCAAUGCGGGGGGAUAUGCCUGAUCCUGAUGUUUUGAAAGUGACCGAAGCAUAUGGAGGCUUUUCACCUGACAUAGCACAGUGCUGAUGUCCCGCUGGUCGAGUCAGAUUUGGGCAAAGUUCAGGAGGGCAGCCUGAUCUCUUACCAGCAGCCAGUGCCAGUCAGCCGCAUCAUGUUACUCCACACUGGAGCUCCUACACCCCCACCUCUGCCCUUGGACGGCUACAGAUUGCAGCCCACUUGUUGCCAGUUUGUGUGCAGUCUCCACCAGCAACUGCAUCUACAAUCUCUACAAACCAACUGGGAAAUGGCAAGGGGAACAGAAGUGGCAACAAGGACCAGAGUAUGUCUGUGGAAUGGCAUCGGGUCAGAAAGAUGAGAUUAACAUUUUCUCACUUUAGGGAGGUUUGAGGUGGUCAGACAUCAGCAGAACAUCUCGCUGAAAGACUGUUCAGGGGUGUGGCCCAAACAUCAUUCAUGAAAAGAGGUCUGGCAUUGGAGCCACGCUAUAUAAAGGAAUACUCUAAAACAGGGGUGUCCAAA
Long non-coding RNA from Alosa sapidissima (American shad), 789 nucleotides. RefSeq lists it as uncharacterized. The transcript is spliced from 3 exons. The record is from RefSeq and is a predicted model, not a curated record. NCBI's taxonomy places the organism in Eukaryota, Metazoa, Chordata, Actinopteri, Clupeiformes, Clupeidae.